RNAcentral lists this ribosomal RNA (472 nucleotides) under uncultured bacterium. Its description in RNAcentral is "SSU rRNA". It matches the Rfam family "Bacterial small subunit ribosomal RNA", at positions 26 to 518 of the family's 1533-position model. The record is from RNAcentral.
AGGACGAACGCUGGCGGCGUGCUUAACACAUGCAAGUCGAGCGGAAAGGCCCUUCGGGGUACUCGAGCGGCGAACGGGUGAGUAACACGUGAGUAAUCUGCCCCUAGCUCUGGGAUAGCUCCGGGAAACCGGGAUUAAUACCGGAUACGACCACUUUAGACAUCUGUUGUGGUGGAAAGAAUUUUGGCUAGGGAUGAGCUCGCGGCCUAUCAGCUUGUUGGUGGGGUAACGGCCUACCAAGGCGACGACGGGUAGCCGGCCUGAGAGGGCGACCGGCCACACUGGGACUGAGACACGGCCCAGACUCCUACGGGAGGCAGCAGUGGGGAAUAUUGCGCAAUGGGCGAAAGCCUGACGCAGCGACGCCGCGUGGGGGAUGAAGGCCUUCGGGUUGUAAACCCUUUCAGCAGGGACGAAGCGAAAGUGACGGUACCUGCAGAAAAGCGCCGGCUAACUACGUGCCAGCAGCCGC